AGACAAUAGAUACCCGGGUAGUCCACACCGUAAACGAUGGAUACUAGAUGUCGGAAGUUCUUACCCUUUCGGUGUCGUAGCUAAACGCGUUAAAGUAUCCCGCCUGGGGAGUACGGUCGCAAGAUUAAAACUCAAAGAAAUUGACGGGGCCCGCACAAGCGGUGGAUUAUGUGGUUUAAUUCGAUGCAACGCGCAAAACCUUACCUAGGCUUGACAUCCCGCGCAUAGCUAUGAAAGUAGUGAAAUCCCUUCGGGGACGCGGUGACAGGUGCUGCAUGGCUGUCGUCAGCUCGUGUCGUGAGAUGUUGGGUUAAGUCCCGCAACGAGCGCAACCCUUGUAGUUAGUUGCCAGCAUUAAGUUGGGCACUCUAGCUAGACCACUUGCCGAUAAGGCAGAGGAAGGUGGGGAUGACGUCAAGUCCGCAUGGCCCUUACGCCUAGGGCUACACACGUAAUACAAUGGUCGGUACAGAGCGCUGCAAGACCGCAAGGUGGAGCUAAUCGCAGAAAACCCGAUCUCAGUUCGGAUUGCUCUCU
RNAcentral lists this ribosomal RNA (537 nucleotides) under uncultured bacterium. RNAcentral's name for it is "bacterial SSU rRNA". It matches the Rfam family "Bacterial small subunit ribosomal RNA", at positions 775 to 1306 of the family's 1533-position model. The record is from RNAcentral.